AGUCGAGGGGCAGCGCGGGUAGCAAUACCUGGCAGCGACCGGCAAACGGGUGCGGAACACGUACGCAACCUACCCAAAACUGGGGGAUAGCCCGGGGAAACCCGGAUUAAUACCUCGUAACCUUUUUGAGUGGCAUCACUUGGAAAGUAUAGCUCCGGCGGUUUUGGAUGGGCGUGCGCCUGAUUAGGUAGUUGGUGUAGGUAACGGCUCACCAAGCCUUCGAUCAGUAACUGGUGUGAGAGCACGACCAGUCACACGGGCACUGAGACACGGGCCCGACUCCUACGGGAGGCAGCAGUAAGGAAUAUUGGUCAAUGGACGCAAGUCUGAACCAGCCAUGCCGCGUGAAGGAUGAAGGUCCUCUGGAUUGUAAACUUCUUUUAUGGGGGACGAAACCCGGAUAUUCUUAUCCGAUUGACGGUACCUCAGGAAUAAGCACCGGCUAACUCCGUGCCAGCAGCCGCGGUAAUACGGAGGGUGCAAGCGUUAUCCGGAUUCACUGGGUUUAAAGGGAGCGUAGGAGGGCAGGUAAGUCAGUGGUGAAAUCUUCGAGCUUAACUCGGAAACUGCCGUUGAUACUAUCUGUCUUGAAUACCGUGGAGAUGAGCGGAAUAUGUCAUGUAGCGGUGAAAUGCUUAGAUAUGACAUAGAACACCAAUUGCGAAGGCAGCUCGUUACACGCAUAUUGACUCUGAGGCUCGAAAGCGUGGGGAUCAAACAGGAUUAGAUACCCUGGUAGUCCACGCCCUAAACGAUGGAUACUCGACAUACG
RNAcentral lists this ribosomal RNA (772 nucleotides) under uncultured bacterium. RNAcentral's name for it is "bacterial SSU rRNA". It matches the Rfam family "Bacterial small subunit ribosomal RNA", at positions 60 to 826 of the family's 1533-position model. The record is from RNAcentral.